AGUGAACGCUGGCGGUAGGCCUAACACAUGCAAGUCGAACGGCAGCACAGUAAGAGCUUGCUCUUACGGGUGGCGAGUGGCGGACGGGUGAGGCAUACAUCGGAAUCUACUUUUUCGUGGGGGAUAACGUAGGGCCACUUACGCUAAUACCGCAUACGACCUACGGGUGAAAGCAGGAGAUCUUCGCACCUUGCGCGAUUGAAUGAGCCGAUGUCGGAUUAGCUAGUUGGCGGGGUAAGGGCCCACCAAGGCGACGAUCCGUAGCUGGUCUGAGAGGAUGAUCAGCCACACUGGAACUGAGACACGGUCCAGACUCCUACGGGAGGCAGCAGUGGGGAAUAUUGGACAAUGGGCGAAAGCCUGAUCCAGCCAUACCGCGUGAGUGAAGAAGGCCUUCGGGUUGUAAAGCCCUUUUGUUGGGAAAGAAAAGCAGCAGGUUAAUACCCCGCUGUUCUGACGGUACCCAAAGAAAAAGCACCGGCUAACUUCGUG
Molecule: ribosomal RNA, 492 nt
Filed under: uncultured bacterium
Lineage: Bacteria
Description: partial 16S ribosomal RNA
Rfam family: Bacterial small subunit ribosomal RNA
Source: RNAcentral